GACGAACGCUGGCGGCGUGCUUAACACAUGCAAGUCGAACGGAAAGGCCCUGCUUUUGUGGGUUGCUCGAGUGGCGAACGGGUGAGAAACACGUGAGUAACCUGCCUUUGACUUUGGGAUAACUCCAGAAAACUGGUGCUAAUACCGACUAGCAGCUCCUGCUGCCUGGUGAGGGUUGGAACGUUUCGGCGGUUGGGGAUGGACUCCCGGCUUAUCAGCUUGUUGGUGGGGUAGUGGCUUACCAAGGCUUUGACGGGUAGCCGGCCUGAGAGGGUGACCGGCGACAUUGGGACUGAGGUAGGGCCCAGACGCCUACUGGAGGCAGCAGUGGGGAAUAUUGCACAAUGGGCGGAAGCCUGAUGCAGCAACGCCGUGGGCGGGAUGACGGCCUUCGGGUUGUAAACCGCUUUCGCCUGUGACGAAGCGUGAGUGACGGUAAUGGGUAAAGAAGCACCGGCUAACUACGUG
Molecule: ribosomal RNA, 468 nt
Filed under: uncultured bacterium
Lineage: Bacteria
Description: partial 16S ribosomal RNA
Rfam family: Bacterial small subunit ribosomal RNA
Source: RNAcentral